This is a long non-coding RNA of Anolis carolinensis (green anole), 3922 nucleotides long. RefSeq lists it as uncharacterized. The transcript has 3 exons. The record is from RefSeq and is a predicted model, not a curated record. Lineage: Eukaryota; Metazoa; Chordata; Lepidosauria; Squamata; Anolidae.
GGGCUUCUCUGUCAACUCCGGACCUCACCAUUCUCCUCAGAGUUGUUUGGAGGAGAAGCAGCACCCGCAAAGAAGACGUGGAGCCAUUUAUGAGACUUACAGAACUCUUCUGAAAGUCACAGGGCAGUGUUUUGAAUCUUAAGUUUUUUUGCAUUGGCACCGCCAGCAUCUCUUUAUAUCGAGUCAUAAGAAUGAAUCUUAUGAAAUAGAUACAACAAAUGAGUUUUAACCAAAGUUUUGCACAUAUGUGUGUGUAUACACACAUACAUACAUAUACAUAACACACAAAUCUAAAAUACAUGUCUUGGUGUUAAUUUAUACUAUAUCUAUCUAUCUAUAUGAGAGAAAUACAUGUCUUCUCAUUAAUUAAAAUGAAAAGCCCUUAGCAAAGUAGUCUUUUAUUAAAGGGGAGCUUGUAUUUUUAUGAUCCUUGUAACAUGAGGUUUCACACCAUCUAGAAGAUUGAGCCUCCCCAGACCAAGAUAAAAACAGUUUGAGCCUCCAAAAAUUAAUUAAAAAUAAUUGUCUGAGAAAGAGAGCUUCAUUUCUUUUCCAAUCCAACAUUAUUUAAUAUGCAUCUGGGAUUCCUCCUGUGAGAGAUGGGGACUGCGAGAACAGGAAGAAGCUCUGCACCAAACAGGAAAAACUAGGAAAAGCUUUCUUUUCAAAAAAAUAAAUAAGUGCUGCAUUUAGAAACUGAUUCCCACAGGGAGGCCUCACUUAUUCUCUAAAGUGUUUAAUUCACAUUUAUUUCCUCAGGUAAUUGAUUCAUGUGAUAGAACCAUUUAAGAAGGGCAUAUUUUUUAAAAAAAUUGAGUGAGGAGUGAUGGAAUUUCAAAAAAAAAUCAGAUCUGUUUUUAAAAAUCACAGCUUCACCAACCUGAAUUAUAUUCUACCAGAGUACAUCUUAAUUUAGAGCCGCAUAGUCUGGAAGCAGCUAUUCAAUAAAAGAUGUGAGUCUGCAAUUGCUACCCAGAUCAGGAAGGCAGCUGCCCGGUUCCACUGGUUGGAAAAGCAGAAGAAAUACUGGUUGUCCAAAGCAACACAUAUGAAAAAGAAAAUGUUUUCAUUUUUAAAAAACCUGGUUUGUAACUAUGACUCAUUUGUAAGUCGGAUGUUUGUAACUCAGGGACGGCCUGUAGUCCAAAGAAAUGAUGUUCCAAACUUAGGUCUCAGGUUCCUGCUCCUAAUAAAUAUUGUAAAGGUAAAGAUAAAGGUUUUCCCCUGAUGAUAAGUCCAGUCGUGACUGAUUCUAGGGGUUGGUGCUCAUCUCCAUUUCUAAGCCGAAGAGCCGGCGUCUGUAGACACCUCCAAGGUCAUGUGGCCGGCAUGACUGCAUGGAGCACUGUUACCUUCCCGCCGGAGCGGUACCUAUUGAUCUACUCACAUUUGCAUGUUUUCGAACUGCUAGGUUCGCAGGAGCUGGGGCUAACAACGGGCGCUCAUUCCACUCCCGGAAUUUGAACCUGGCACCUUUUGGUCCGCAAGUUCAGCAGCUCAGCGUUUAACACACUGUGCCACCAGGGGCCCCUUAACAUCAAUAACAUCAUUGACAGCAUCAAUAUUUUAAUGUUUGUAUAAUGUAUUUUUACCAAUUACUGUUAAUGUGUUUAAUGUGUUGUUAAUUUUAUUGAUUGUUUGGCAUUGAAUCUUGUCAGGUGUUGUAAGCUGCCUUGAGUCCCCUCGGGUGAGAAAGGCGGGAUAAAAAUGUUGUAAAUAAAUAAAACAUCUACUCUCAACUGUUCUCUGUUGUCCCAUUUUUCAGCUAUUUUUACGUCCCAGUUUUUCUCUUCUUCUCCUACUUCCAUUUGUCUUUAGCUUACUUGAACUGUCAUUUGAGUUCACAGUGAAGAUAAUAAGAUUUUAUAAGUAUAAAUUUUAUAAAAAUAAAGUUUUGAGAAUGGGUUAAAGAGAGGGGAGGAGGAGUUGGAGUUGGAAAAAGAUAGCACUGCUAGGCACAGUGGGAGAAGAUGUGUGUGAAGGUGAAGGAAGAUCGUGAUGACAUGAGAGGAGAGAGAUGGGAGGGGGAAGCACAGAAGAAUUAUUUUGGAAAACAGAGGAACAGAGAGGUACCUGAAGUAAAGGGCAGAGCCGGGCAGGAGAAGCACAAAGAAGGAAAGGAUAAGAGCUGUCAUGACCUAGCAACCUAUAUGAAGAGAAAAAUGGACAUAUAGGACCAAUGAAUAGAAGAAAGAGGAAAUGAGAAGACAACAACAGGAGUUAGGAAACAGUUUAUUGAGAUGAAUUGGAAACCCUUCUACAGGGGCACUGCAGCUCACUCAGAUUCUCAAGGGUGAAAUGAAUGUAUUAAGGUUUAACAGAAGAGCCAAGGCAAGCCAGCCCUUGUCUGCACAAAAAGUCAGCAGCUGCCAAAUAGCCGAGCUGAAAAAAGGUGAAGGAAAAUGCAAGAGAAAAAGACGAUGGGAAAGGGAGAAAGGUGAAGAAAAAUAUUAAUAGAAAAAUGGUUCCAUUGAGAUGAACAGUAAAUAUUGAAAAGCGCCAGACGCAUUCAGCUGCCUAGAAUUGGAAUCUGACUUGCAACACCAGAGAGAAUAAAUUUAUUCUGGCGUUACGCCCUGCGAGCCUACCUGUCUCUCAGAAACAAUUGGGGCUCAGACUAAAAUUGUAUAUUAAAUAAGUGGCCUAUUAGUGCACAGCAGUGAAGGGUGGUGAGCCAGCAGUAAGGCAGAAGGGUGUCUGUAAGGUGGAAGGGUUUUUUUUUUUUUUCAGAUGAGGUAUUUUCAUAGACUUUGGUGAAAACGAAGAAGCUGUGAUGCUCCCCUCACUGGUUUGUCAGGUUGAGGUAGAGGAAAACAUGAUCUCUGACUUCCUGUGCUGUAUAUACUCAUAUAAGUCUACCUCGUGUAUAUGUCAAUGGCAGGUUUUGGCAUCAAAAUUAUGGAUUUUGAUAUGACACGUGGAUAAGCCAAGGGUUAUUUAACAGAGGGAAAUGCCUCAAAUGGCUAGUGACCAUUGACAUUUUUCCGCCCAGCUAUUUUAAAAGGUCCAAAGUAGUGCCAAGGCAGAGAGAGUAGAGGACGCUGGUGCUUCCUUUAGGUUCUCCCAGGAUGGAAAAAGCCAGUGUCUUUCACCACUAUACUGGGAUGGUUUCUUUUCUGAUAAGAGUUAAAGUACAAUACAGUACCCAUUUUUUUCCAGUCAAUUGCUUGUUUAAAAUUGCUUCACUUAUACAUGAGUGCAUACAAUAAUCAGGAGUAAAGGAUUCUAGUAUACAGCAGUACUGUAUUCUAUAGUUUCAGAAGUAUUGUGAAUGAAGCAAUCAUAGGAGCAUGGCCAAGCAGUUUAUUUAUUUAUUUAUUUAUUUAUUUAUUUAUUUGCAUCACUUUUACCCCACCUUUCUCUCCGAGGAGUCUCAAAGCGGCUUACAGUAAAUAGGCAAAAAUUCAAUGCCUAAAAACAAUGUAAAAACAACAAUUCAUAUAAAACAAUCUACAAAACAACAGUUCAUAUAAAACAGAUAUCAUUACAAAAUAAAGUCACAUUAUAUAAAAUUUUAAGAAUGUCCAAGAUUAAAAUCUAUUCAUCCAGAAUCCUCAAGUCUUCAUACAGGUCAUGUAAAGUCCAUGUUCUCAUUCAUUAAAAGCUUGCAUGCACAACCAUGUCUUUAAGGCUUUCCUGAAGCUUAGGAGAGUUGGUAUCUGCCUUAUGUUGCUGGGGAGGGUGUUCCAUAGCCGAGAAGCCACCACCGAGAAGGCCCUGUACCUCGUUCCGACUAGCCUUACCUGCGAGGCUGGUGGGACCAAGAGCAGGGCCUCCCCAGAUGAUCUAAGAGUUCUAGAAGGCUCAUAGGGGGAGAUACGUUUGGACAGGUAAGAUAGGUCAGAACCAUUUAGGGCUUUGUAGGUCAAAACCAGCACUUUGAAUUGGGCUCAGUAGCAUAUCGGCAGCCAGUGGAGCUGAC